AUUUUGCAAUUUUAAUGUUAACUGAGAAAUUGAAUUCAAUCUAGUCAAUAAAUCUGAAAACAAAACUAUACAAAAAACGGGAUUCUACGAGAUCGUCUAAUAAUGGCAAAAAAAAAAAAAAUAUGUCAAGAUGGCUUCAAAACAUUCUAAGUUUAGACUUUUUAUAAACAUUUGUCUAAAGCUCGCGCUAGUUGUAAAACUAUUUAUUAGUUUGAAAAACAACAGAAUAACUAAUUACUAAGAAUCAAUCAACAGACUCAAUGCAUAGUAUGUUUUUUAUGAACUGACCAAUUGGAUAGUGAUCUUAAAUGCUUUAGGAUUCUGUUUGAUUACAUCCCCAUAGUCGAGGUGGGAAGCACCAGUUUUCCUUGUGCCAGUUGCAUGUUGCCCAUAGAGGAUGACUUUGGCGAUUGAUUCAUCAUCCAUGUGGUGGACAUGACCAAAACAGGCUGGGAUGCCGGAGGGUGAUGCGUAUACUGGGGAGACCUGAGCAAGCUUGUUACUUAAUCUUUUGUGCCAUGAAAUUUUCAAGAUUUGGAAGAGUCAUAUGCGAGGACAAAUUUGUACAAGUGAUCCUUCUUUCAAAGUGCAUUUAGAGCAGGGAAUGAAUUAUUUAAUCAGCCAUUAAACCAAUGUGUUAGCAAAAUCCAGAUGAAAAUUUUCAACCUCAAAAUGGAAGUGAUAUGGAAAGGUGGGAGUCUGAGUCUUAUAAUAUGAACUAUUUUACUCAAGUGCAAAAUAAAUAUAAAUUGACAAUAGACUCAGUGCCAAAAUUUUAUAUGUCUGCUUAUCAAGAGUUUCAGACUAAAAGUGAAGAUAACUUCUUGUGAGGAUGCAAAUGGUCUCUUGAUGGUAGCUGUGUUCUGACAAACAGCAAUGAUAACUGUACCGGUAUUAGAAUCUUUAAACCAUUUGCAACACAAGAUUUGGACAAUGCUGCAAACAAUCAUCUAACUUUGCUUGGUUUCCUGGAAUUAUUUGAUUUUUACCAGAGCUUUGUAGAAUGCAUUAGCAAUACAAGGUGGCCUACAGUACCUAUAGCUUGCCGUUGUCAAACAGUGAAAUACCCUAACAGUGAUUCUCCAUUAGCCUUCUAUCUAACCAGUAAGCCAGCAAAAGAAACUAUAGUGGCAACAGAAAGAAGAGCAGAAAGAGUGGCAAACCUCUGAUGGAGAUCACUAACCGGAAAGAGGGCAUUUUGGAGUUCGUGAAUUGGGCAUUAAUGUUAUAAUUGUCGACGAAUCUCAGACACACUCAUUAGGUAUCUCUUUGAACAAUCAAACCAUUCUUUCCUGUCCCAAAGGUGGCUUCAACUGUCCUCACCCCAACAGUAAAGGAUCUUACAAGUACAGGAUUUGUGUGAUUGACGGAGUUCUGGAGAUAAAUGCUGAAGAUAAACUACAGAUAAAGACAAUGGAGAAGAACACUACGGUUAGAUUUGAGCAGAACCAGAGGUUGCAGUUCAAGGCUGAUCUCCUCCAUAAUACAAUGCCCUCAAAAAUAAGAACUUGAUUUUGUAAAUACUGAGAUAUCCUUACGGCAGCUGUUCACUAGAAGCAAACAUUUUCUUUUUUAAAGAUGGAGGUUUAUUGAUCCAUCGUGCAUUUGUACAUUUAUUGAUUUUAUUCAGUGUUUGAUUUUAAGCAGCUAUUAAGCUUGUUAUUUUCCAAACUGUGUAGGGCCUAUAUGUAGUGUUUUAACUUGCUAAGUCACUAACAUUUGUUGGCUAUGACAAUCGAGUGUCGAUAUCUAACCUAACAAUCGUAUUAUUGCAAUGUAUUAUUCAAGUCAUUUUUACAAUCUCUUAAGAAUAAAAUUUCCAGAAGUUAUGAUGAAACAUUAAUCUAACUUUAAUAAAAUUUGGUUAUCCACUUACACAAACUUUUGUAACCCUUUCCUGCCUUCAGUUAGCCAUACUUUGGUGACGCUAAUGUGAGAUUACGCACCACUGUGGGAUGACCCAAAGUAUAAUAAUAGGUGCGGUACAUAUUUUCAACAUACAAAGACAAUAAUAAGGUAUUUCAAGUGGUAAUAAUUAACAUAGCACAUAGAAAUUAUGAUUAACAUCAAUAUUGUAAACAUCGCUUUAGGAUUAGCUGGCUAAAUUUUUUAACCUUGACAAAAUAGUUGUUGAUACGUAAAUUGUGAUAGGUUCCAGGGAGGAUUAGCUGUUGAUAGUUCCUUCACAGGAGAGGAUUUUUAUAAAUUCUCUUUGACAGAAUAGUUACUAAUAGGUUCCAUUAAAAUUUUACACAGGACCUUUUUAGUCUUAUUUUUUUAAUGCACCUUUUGCUUUGCAGUCAAUAGUUCAGAAAACAACCAGCUUAAAAAGGAACAUACAUUUCCUUAAUUUAAACAAAAAAGUUCUAGCAAUCAUUAUGAAACCAAAAAAAAAAUGUAAAAAAAAAAAGCUAGUCAACAGUUUUGCACCUUCAAGAGAAAUAUAUGCUAAAUAAUGUGAAUGGAUGUUGUUAGAAAUAGAGCAUCUAUACUGAUUCACAUAAUGGCUACAGUUUAGACUAAUUGUUAACCAAUUGACUUUCUUACUUUUUUCAUUCUUUGACCUACACUGCCUUAGUAAUUAACCAGAUGUGCAGGCUAGCUUUAAAUUUUACUGCCCGUUUCCCUAUUAAAUGUAAAUGAGAAAACAGAGCUGUUUUUAUACAUGUAACUUGUUUCCCUAUUAAAUGUAAAUGAGAAAACAGAGCUGUUUUUAUACAUGUAACUUGUUUCCCUAUUAAAUGUAAAUGAGAAAACAGAGCUGUUUUUAUACAUGUAACUUGUUUCCCUAUUAAAUGUAAAUGAGAAAACAGAGCUGUUUUUAUACAUGUAACUUGUUUCCUUAUUAAAUGUAAAUGAGAAAACAGAGCUGUUUUUAUACAUGUAACUUGUUUCCCUAUUAAAUGUAAAUGAGAAAACAGCUGUUUUUAUACAUGUAACUUGUUUCCCUAUGACUUGAAGAGUCAACAGUCUUGCACUCUCAUGCAUGAUGAAUUACACUAUUGUGUUUGCUCAGAUAUCUGUCAAAGUUGUUUUAUUAUUUUAGCAAGUUUUUAUUUAUUUGAAACAAGUGAGGGCUAAACUUUAAUAUUCAUUAACAUUGAACACUUCUGUGAGGGUAUUCCCUUUGAAAGCUCCUGCAACUAAGCAGCUGCAAAAUAUGUUGUAUAGCAUUCCUUUGGAUUUCACCAAAUAGAACACAUGGUCAUGAUACUCUUGGGGCAUACAUUGAAUAUGGAGGCAGAAGGAGCCAUACAUUUAUAGAUAUUUGUUUAUAUUGUAUAAACAUUUUUCAAUUACUUUUUCUCAAAGAAUAGAGCUGACAUUUGUAACAUUGUUCAAAUGAAUUGUACAAAUGAUGCAAUAUUUUACAUGAUAUUGAAACAAAAAACUAUGCCAAUUUUAAUAAAGGGUAAAAUGACUUAAACAUUCUAAAAAUAUGUAUAUGUUGUAUAAAACUGUAAUGUGUAAUGAAGAUUUAAAUUAAAUUAUUUGAUAUUUUGGGUUUUUGGCACAUCGGCACAAUUUAGGCCAUGCCGUGACUAUUUAAAAUUGAUAUGUAAUAUACUUUUGUACAAGUGAAACUUUUUUAUUAUUACUUCAUGUUUUGUUGAACUGUAUAUAAAUAUAGGGCUUUGUAUUUAUGGAUGUAUAAAAAAAAAUGUAUAUAAAUCUAUUGAAAGGCAUUUUUAUUUCUAUUCCAAUGGAGGCUACUAUUCUCAAUUUUACACAUCUUGAGCGUGAAGCUAUAAUUUGGCUGCUUAGAUUACUGUGUAAAAUUAUUAACAGAGAAGAGGGGGAAGGGCGGUGGCCAAGAGGUUAAGCGCUUGACUUCUGAAUUUGGGGUUCUGGGUUCAAAUCUCGGUGGAGACUGGGAUUUUAAUAUUCGGGAUUCUUAUGGGUACCUAACUAUAGUUGGGGUAAGUAAAGGCGGUUGGUUGUUGCGCUGGCCACAUGACACCCUGCUAGUUAACCAUUGGCUACAGAAACAGAUGACCUUAACAUCAUCUGCCCCAUAGAUCACAAGGUCUGAGAAGGGGAAACUUUACUUAACUUUACUAACAGAGAAGAAAAUAAAUUCCAUCAUUAUCUGAAGAAAAGCCACUGGUCUUUGUACUGACCUGGGUGGACAGCCAAUCAACAUAGUCCUAGAUUUUAUAUACCAGAACUAAGGUAGUAUAGAAACUAAAAAAAGGAUAUGCAGAACUUAAAGAUUUGCAAAAAAAUGGUCAGGAUACUGCAAGUUAAACAAAAUAAAUUUGUUCCAUGAUUAUGAUCGAACUUGAUAUAAAAAUGCACCUAUUCAAAAGGUAUGUGCCAUAAUUUAUUAUUCUAUAUGAUACUCAUAAGGCUUUAAAUUGUUUUAUGGGAGGCUAAAGUACAAAUAUUCUGAACCAAAUGGUGAGCUAAAAUAUUCAAUAAUAUAUACUACAAAGAUAUUCCAACAAUGUAACCCUAAUAGCUGUUUCCCUACUCCUUCACAUUCUUUCACAAGCUAAUUUGAAAACGAAAUGUAUAAUCUAGUUGUUUUUUUUCUGCUUUGACAUUUAUGUAGGUAGUAGGAAAUUGAUAAUUUCUUGACACAUUUGAAAAGAGUAGAAUAUAUCCUAAUAUCAGCACUUCCAAAGGAAACAAGCUGAGGAGACAAAUGCUGCUACACAAUGACAUAAUUGAAGACAUGGAGUUUUCCAUCCACUUGGAAUGUAGUAUGUCUGAUGGUAAAACAAAGUAGGAGUUAUUCUGAGCAUCCUAUAGGACAGUGAAUCAUGAAGGAGAAUGAGAAAUAACUAAUUCAAUGUCAUCUAUCAGACACUGGCCCAUGCAGACUUGGAAGUGUCAUUUACUCUGGCCACCUCAAGAAUGAAGUAACACAGCAAUGAAGAGUUACUUUGAAUAGGAAACUGUAUGUAUUAGAAGAGGGUUAUGUUGAAAGCCACUUCCUUCAAACUAAAGCCCACAGGCAUCCCAAGGUUGGACCUAAUUGGAAACACAAAAAUUAUAUAUACAGCAGCAACUCAUGAUCACCUCAAAGGAAAAAUUAAAAAUUGCUGAAAGUGAAAGAGGCUAACCAUUACUACAAUAUAAUAAUUUAUAAUCUGUGUUACUAUCAAUAAGCUUACAUUUCAAUUCUUUGCAUGAUUUAUGUUUUAAUACUUUUUUGAGCAUUAAUUUGCAAACAUUUUGAUUUGGUUAAUGGAUAAGUAAAAUUGAAGUACUUCAAUAUUAUGAGAACACAAGGAUAUGACCAAAGCAACCUGAUUAUAUGCUCUGUUUCUUAGAUGUGUGGCUCUUAAGAUAAUCUUUUGUGUGGGUUUAUAUUUUUUAUCCUCCACUUCCUUUUAUGAAACAAACCAGCAUGAAUCCGUUAAAUAAAGACACAACUUUUGUCCAAAUGGCUUUAUAGUUUAUUGUAUUUUCAGACGAUACAAAAGUACUGGGAAAAUUUGAAUCAAUCAAGACAAAACAAAUUCAAACUCAUUAAAUUUUAUCAACCGCCUCACUUUAUAUAUGGAACAAUUUAAGAUAUGUAUUAUAUUGCAUUUUGAAGGAUUUAGAU
This is a long non-coding RNA of Biomphalaria glabrata, 5557 nucleotides long. RefSeq lists it as uncharacterized. The record is from RefSeq and is a predicted model, not a curated record. The transcript has 10 exons. NCBI's taxonomy places the organism in Eukaryota, Metazoa, Mollusca, Gastropoda, Planorbidae.